Molecule: ribosomal RNA, 1045 nt
Filed under: uncultured archaeon
Lineage: Archaea
Description: bacterial SSU rRNA
Rfam family: Archaeal small subunit ribosomal RNA
Source: RNAcentral
UGUUUGAUCCUGGCCGAGGCCAUUGCUAUCGGUGUCCGAUUUAGCCAUGCGAGUUGUACGUCUAACGUAGCAAACCGCUCAGUAACACGUGGCCAAACUACCCUACGGAUCGGGAUAACCUCGGGAAACUGAGGCUAAUCCCGAAUAGUGCUCCCGAGCUGGAAUGCUGGGAGCGCCAAACGCUCCGGCGCCGUAGGAUGUGGCUGCGGCCGAUUAGGUAGAUGGUGGGGUAACGGCCCACCAUGCCGAUAAUCGGUACGGGUUGUGAGAGCAAGAGCCCGGAGACGGACUCUGAGACAAGAGUCCGGGCCCUACGGGGCGCAGCAGGCGCGAAACCUUUACACUGCACGCAAGUGCGAUAGGGGGACACCGAGUGCGAGGGCAUAGAGCCCUCGCUUUUCUGUACCGUAAGGCGGUACAGGAACAAGGGCUGGGCAAGACCGGUGCCAGCCGCCGCGGUAACACCGGCAGCCCAAGUGAUGGCCGAUCUUAUUGGGCCUAAAGCGUCCGUAGCUUGCCGAGUAAGUUCGUCGGGAAAUCUACUGGCUUAACCAGUAGGCGUCCGGCGAAAACUGCUCGGCUUGGGACCGGGAGACCAGAGGGGUACGUCCGGGGUAGGAGUGAAAUCCUGUAAUCCUGGACGGACCACCGGUGGCGAAAGCGCCUCUGGAGAACGGAUCCGACAGUGAGGGACGAAAGCUAGGGUCUCGAACCGGAUUAGAUACCCGGGUAGUCCUAGCUGUAAACGAUGCUCGCUAGGUGUGGCGCAGGCUACGAGCCUGCGCUGUGCCGUAGGGAAGCCGUGAAGCGAGCCGCCUGGGAAGUACGUCUGCAAGGAUGAAACUUAAAGGAAUUGGCGGGGGAGCACUACAACCGGAGGAGCCUGCGGUUUAAUUGGACUCAACGCCGGACAUCUCACCAGCUCCGACAGCAGUAAUGACGAUCAGGUUGAUGACCUUAUUCGACGCUGCUGAGAGGAGGUGCAUGGCCGCCGUCAGCUCGUACCGUGAGGCGUCCUGUUAAGUCAGGCAACGAGCGAGACCCA